UGUCAUGUCAUGGUACUGGCCCGGGUACGAUUCCCGGUCACUGUAAAUUCAGUUUUACGAAUUGCGAUGAAGAACUCCGCGCUGGAUCUGAUGAUGUGUGGGGUCUCAUCCCUAUUCUCUGAUACAUUCCGACGACGAUAGCAGCAGAUCGGAGCUUGACCUUUCAUUUUUGUUGUUUUAUUUCCGCAUUCGGUAUAUGGAUUUCUGGCAUUGAAUUCUCCCUGCAUGUCGUACAAGCGUUCGGAGAAUUUCCUUCUUCAAUUGUUCCCAAUGGCCGAUGAAUUCUUUCUGAGCUCCGGAGAACAGUGGUCGCUCUCGCAACAUCCUGAGCGGGCAAAUAUGUUGAAUGCAAGCAUUUAUGGCGGGCGGAAAAUGGACUGAUGGCUAACUCAGAGCCAUUCCCACUUUUGUGCUUGAGAACUUCGGCCAAAUAGUGUGUGGAAGAGUGACUUUAUACUCCCAGAAACUGCGGAUCUGAAUUUGAUAGUGUUUGAGAUUAAAAAGCAGCCUGCCCCAUUUGCCUUUAUGUGACGGUUCUCUUGUUCUCCGGUAAUCUUUGAUCUCUUAACAAACUCUUUAUGACAAUUGACCAAAUAAUCAUAAUUAGAUCUUCUCUUUCUAAAUUAUUAGACUUACAAAUUACUCCAAGCUCGUCUUGUAUUCUUUAGGUUGAUUUCCGUUCUAGCUUAUUUUUUAGUAUUGUUUGGAAUGACUUUUAAGUGAAAUGUGAGACAUUAGCUCACUGACAA
Long non-coding RNA from Cucurbita moschata (crookneck pumpkin), 749 nucleotides. RefSeq lists it as uncharacterized. The transcript has 2 exons. NCBI's taxonomy places the organism in Eukaryota, Viridiplantae, Streptophyta, Magnoliopsida, Cucurbitales, Cucurbitaceae. The record is from RefSeq and is a predicted model, not a curated record.